RNAcentral lists this ribosomal RNA (820 nucleotides) under uncultured Clostridium sp. RNAcentral describes it as "bacterial SSU rRNA". It matches the Rfam family "Bacterial small subunit ribosomal RNA", at positions 35 to 731 of the family's 1533-position model. Lineage: Bacteria; Bacillati; Bacillota; Clostridia; Eubacteriales; Clostridiaceae. The record is from RNAcentral.
CCUGGCGGGUGCCUACCAUGCAAGUCGAACGGAGUAGUGUUCAACACCGAGUACUAACUAAAGUGUUGACCGACAGCGCAUAUGAGCGAACGAAGAGAGCUCAUUACGCAAAUAAAAGUGCCAACACCAAUGACGUAGAACUGGGUGUUGAACAUUACUUAGUGGCGAACGGGUGAGUAACGCGUAGACAACCUGCCUUCUAGAUGGGGACAACACUGCGAAAGUGGUGCUAAUACCGAAUGUUGUAUUGAGCCUGCAUGGGCUCGAUACUAAAGGUGGCCUCUAUUUAUAAGCUAUCACUAGAAGAUGGGUCUGCGUCUGAUUAGCUAGUUGGUGAGGUAAUGGCUCACCAAGGCGAUGAUCAGUAGCCGGUCUGAGAGGAUGAACGGCCACACUGGGACUGAGACACGGCCCAGACUCCUACGGGAGGCAGCAGUGGGGAAUCUUCCGCAAUGGACGAAAGUCUGACGGAGCAACGCCGCGUGAGUGAAGAAGGUUUUCGGAUCGUAAAGCUCUGUCUUUGAGGACGAAUGUGUCUAAUGUGAAUAAUGUUAGAUAAUGACGGUACUCGAGGAGGAAGCCACGGCUAACUACGUGCCAGCAGCCGCGGUAAUACGUAGGUGGCAAGCGUUGUCCGGAAUUAUUGGGCGUAAAGCGCGCGCAGGCGGGAUAUUAAGUCUGUUUUAAAAGUUCGGGGCUCAACCCCGUGAUGGAAUGGAAACUAAUAUUCUUGAGUGCAGGAGAGGAAAGUGGAAUUCCCAGUGUAGCGGUGAAAUGCGUAGAUAUUGGGAGGAACACCAGUGGCGAACGCGACUUUCUG